RNAcentral lists this long non-coding RNA (470 nucleotides) under Danio rerio (zebrafish). RNAcentral's name for it is "si:dkey-50d16.1 (ENSDARG00000096866.2)". Lineage: Eukaryota; Metazoa; Chordata; Actinopteri; Cypriniformes; Danionidae. The record is from RNAcentral.
UAAACCCUAUACUGUAAAUCUAUCUGAAAUGAUGCGUCUGUAUUUUGCUGUGCCAGGCUGGCGACAGCUGGAAGACACAGGAAUCUCCCGCCCCCGUUCCCCCACUCUGCUGUGCUGGAGCCUGGGGCGUGUUGGCAUGUAGCCUGUAGUGUGUGGGCUGUCUGGGAGGAGUGUGCAUGUGGAAACGAACGGAGCCCCUGUAAAUCUGGGACACCCCAACGAAGCGACGUCAGACCCCGCAUACUAGAUGACAACACUGGCAGCCACCCCAGGGAACGCUGAGAUCCCACGCUCACUUGGAACUGCUGGAGCUGCAUGGAGCCAGUGGCUAAUGCCAAGCUAACCGCAAGGCUGAAUGCGAAACACAUCACGACGUCGAAUUAUGUGAGGAAGUUGAUGUUCCCUGCAAUCACCACGGUAGCUAAUUCCUGCUAUUCUAUCAGACUUUUUCCCCCAAUACCAAUUUCUCC